UUGCGCUCCCGGGAUAUGCCUGGGAGCAUGCUUGUCGGGGAGGAGGAGGCGAAAACUCGCCCACAGCUUUGGGUUCGAUCUCGACCUCAAGGCGGUGGAGCGGAAUAUGAGUGUUCCGGGGAGCGGUAGUGCGGUGUGUAUUUUUGUACAUGCCUCCUGCUCGUCCCCUGAGUCCACCCAAGCCUAGAGAGCUACCGAUUGUCCGGGCCUCAUUGCCUUUGCGGCGCUGUAGACAGGUCCACCUUGCGUCCUCCGGAAGAUCCGCUGUUGAUACCUUCGCAACCUCGCCCCCUCUCGCGGGGCGGGGCAGGGCGAAGGAGACACUGACGCCGGGGAUGUGCGCGGGUUACCUUGAGGCGUCGCAGGAGGCAAGUUCACCUUGCGUCCUCCGGAGGAUCCGUUGUUGACGGCGCCCCCUAUCGCGGGGCGGGGACACAACGGGUCGCCGGGGAUGUGCGCGGGUGUCCUUGAGGCUUGGGACGGUAGGUAGUCUCGAGAGUACCGGUGAGAGGCCGGUGAUUAUGAUUAUGCCAUACCCCCGAUCAAGCAAGAAGACCCGCUGAAUUUAAGCAUAUACUAAGCGGAGGA
Molecule: unclassified non-coding RNA, 588 nt
Filed under: Sargassum ilicifolium
Lineage: Eukaryota; Phaeophyceae; Fucales; Sargassaceae
Description: sequence contains 5.8S rRNA gene, ITS2 and 28S rRNA gene
Source: RNAcentral